GAAAAAAGAAAAGAAAAAAAAAAAAGUGUUGGAGGAAGAAUAAUUGAGUGAGAAAAGUUGAUAAAAACUGAUAUUGGUUGAGGGAAAUUAUGCAAUAAAUGUUGCCAUUUGAGGAAUUGGGUCCCAAGAAAUUGACAAAUGAACUGAAAGCUUUGCCAUUUGUGCUUCUCUGUCACACUGCAGAAAACAACAGAGGCCACCACCAUCGCGCUCAUUUUCAAAACUCAAAACAACAAAAUAGGACCC
RNAcentral lists this long non-coding RNA (246 nucleotides) under Vigna radiata. RNAcentral describes it as "long non-coding RNA (VRAD_LNC001514)". The record is from RNAcentral. Lineage: Eukaryota; Viridiplantae; Streptophyta; Magnoliopsida; Fabales; Fabaceae.